Molecule: ribosomal RNA, 594 nt
Filed under: Suillus spraguei
Lineage: Eukaryota; Fungi; Basidiomycota; Agaricomycetes; Boletales; Suillaceae
Description: partial 25S ribosomal RNA
Rfam family: Eukaryotic large subunit ribosomal RNA
Source: RNAcentral
GGAUUCCCCUAGUAACUGCGAGUGAACCGGGAAAAGCUCAAAUUUUGAAUCUGGCGGUCUAAGGGCCGUCCGAGUUGUAAUCUAGAGAAGCGUCUUCCGCGCUGGACCGUGUAUAAGUUUCCUGGAAUGGAACGUCGUAGAGGGUGACAAUCCCGUCUUUGACACGGACUCCCAGUGCUAUGUGAUGCGCUCUCGACGAGUCGAGUUGUUUGGGAAUGCAGCUCAAAUAGGGUGGUAAAUUCCAUCUAAAGCUAAAUACAGGCGAGAGACCGAUAGCGAACAAGUACCGUGAGGGAAAGAUGAAAAGAACUUUGGAAAGAGAGUUAAACAGUACGUGAAAUUGCUGAAAGGGAAACGCUUGAUGUCAGUCGCAUCGUCCGGGGAUCAGCCUCGCUCUUUUGCUCGGCGUACUUCCUGGUCGAUGGGUCAGCAUCGGUUUCGACCGUCGGAAAAUGGCUCGAGGAACGUGGCACUCUUCGGGGUGUGUUAUAGCCUCGAGUCGAAUACGACGGUCGGGACCGAGGAACUCAGCACGACCUUCGGGUUCGGGGCUUCGGCUCACGUUCGCGUGCUUAGGAUGCUGGCAUAAUGCUU